GCUGACGGUGUGCUUUAGACAUGCAAGUCGAACGCGAAAACCCUUCGGGGUGAGUAGAGUGGCGAACGGGUGAGUAACACGUGGGUAACCUACCCCUCGCAGGGGGAUAACCCGGGGAAACCCGGGCUAAUACCCCGUACGCUUGUCGGGUCGCAUGACCCGGCAAGGAAACGGUAGCUUCGGCCAUCCGGCGAGGGAUGGGCCCGCGGUGCAUUAGCUAGUUGGUGGGUAACAGCCUACCAAGGCGACGAUGCAUAGCUGGUCUGAGAGGAUGAUCAGCCACACUGGGACUGAGACACGGCCCAGACUCCUACGGGAGGCAGCAGUCGGGAAUCUUGCGCAAUGGGCGAAAGCCUGACGCAGCAACACCGUGUGGGUGAUGAAGGCCUUCGGGUCGUAAAGCCCUGUUGUUGGGGACGAAGGGUUAGGGGUUAAUAGCCCCGAGCCUGACGGUACUCUUCGAGGAAGCCCCGGCUAACUACGUGCCAGCAGCCGCGGUAAUACGUAGGGGGCGAGCGUUGUCCGGAAUUAUUGGGCGUAAAGAGCGUGUAGGCGGCCCGGUAAGUCCGCCGUGAAAGCUUAGGGCUCAACCCUAAGUUUGCGGUGGAUACUGUCGGGCUAGAGGGUGGUAGAGGCGAGUGGAAUUCCCGGUGUAGCGGUGAAAUGCGCAGAUAUCGGGAGGAACACCAGUAGCGAAGGCGGCUCGCUGGGCCAUACCUGACGCUGAGACGCGAAAGCGUGGGGAGCGAACAGGAUUAGAUACCCCCGUAGUCC
RNAcentral lists this ribosomal RNA (774 nucleotides) under uncultured bacterium. RNAcentral's name for it is "bacterial SSU rRNA". It matches the Rfam family "Bacterial small subunit ribosomal RNA", at positions 35 to 796 of the family's 1533-position model. The record is from RNAcentral.